This 709-nucleotide ribosomal RNA is filed under the name Vibrio cholerae. RNAcentral's name for it is "partial 23S ribosomal RNA". It matches the Rfam family "Bacterial large subunit ribosomal RNA", at positions 2198 to 2901 of the family's 2925-position model. Lineage: Bacteria; Pseudomonadati; Pseudomonadota; Gammaproteobacteria; Vibrionales; Vibrionaceae. The record is from RNAcentral.
UACCACCCUUGUAUGUUUGAUGUUCUAACUUAGACCCAUUAUCUGGGUUGAGGACAGUGCCUGGUGGGUAGUUUGACUGGGGCGGUCUCCUCCCAAAGAGUAACGGAGGAGCACGAAGGUGGGCUAAUCACGGUUGGACAUCGUGAGGUUAGUGCAAUGGCAUAAGCCCGCUUAACUGCGAGAAUGACGGUUCGAGCAGGUGCGAAAGCAGGUCAUAGUGAUCCGGUGGUUCUGUAUGGAAGGGCCAUCGCUCAACGGAUAAAAGGUACUCCGGGGAUAACAGGCUGAUACCGCCCAAGAGUUCAUAUCGACGGCGGUGUUUGGCACCUCGAUGUCGGCUCAUCACAUCCUGGGGCUGAAGUCGGUCCCAAGGGUAUGGCUGUUCGCCAUUUAAAGUGGUACGCGAGCUGGGUUUAGAACGUCGUGAGACAGUUCGGUCCCUAUCUGCCGUGGGCGUUGGAAGAUUGAAGGGGGCUGCUCCUAGUACGAGAGGACCGGAGUGGACGAACCUCUGGUGUUCGGGUUGUGUCGCCAGACGCAUUGCCCGGUAGCUAAGUUCGGAAUUGAUAAGCGCUGAAAGCAUCUAAGCGCGAAGCGAGCCCUGAGAUGAGUCUUCCCUGAUACUUUAAGUAUCCUAAAGGGUUGUUCGAGACUAGAACGUUGAUAGGCAGGGUGUGUAAGCGUUGUGAGGCGUUGAGCUAACCUGUAC